RNAcentral lists this ribosomal RNA (429 nucleotides) under Pseudomonadota bacterium. RNAcentral's name for it is "Proteobacteria bacterium partial 16S ribosomal RNA". It matches the Rfam family "Bacterial small subunit ribosomal RNA", at positions 355 to 776 of the family's 1533-position model. Lineage: Bacteria; Pseudomonadati; Pseudomonadota. The record is from RNAcentral.
UGGGGAAUAUUGGACAAUGGGCGAAAGCCUGAUCCAGCCAUGCCGCGUGUGUGAAGAAGGUCUUCGGAUUGUAAAGCACUUUAAGUUGGGAGGAAGGGCAGUAAGCGAAUACCUUGCUGUUUUGACGUUACCGACAGAAUAAGCACCGGCUAACUCUGUGCCAGCAGCCGCGGUAAUACAGAGGGUGCAAGCGUUAAUCGGAAUUACUGGGCGUAAAGCGCGCGUAGGUGGUUCGUUAAGUUGAAUGUGAAAGCCCCGGGCUCAACCUGGGAACUGCAUCCAAAACUGGCGAGCUAGAGUAGGGCAGAGGGUGGUGGAGUUUCCUGUGUAGCGGUGAAAUGCGUAGAUAUAGGAAGGAACACCAGUGGCGAAGGCGACCACCUGGGCUCAUACUGACACUGAGGUGCGAAAGCGUGGGGAACAAACAGG